RNAcentral lists this ribosomal RNA (498 nucleotides) under uncultured bacterium. RNAcentral's name for it is "partial 16S ribosomal RNA". It matches the Rfam family "Bacterial small subunit ribosomal RNA", at positions 28 to 508 of the family's 1533-position model. The record is from RNAcentral.
GAUGAACGCUGGCGGCGUGCCUAAUACAUGCAAGUCGAGCGAACAGACGAGGAGCUUGCUCCUCUGACGUUAGCGGCGGACGGGUGAGUAACACGUGGAUAACCUACCUAUAAGACUGGGAUAACUUCGGGAAACCGGAGCUAAUACCGGAAAAUAUAUUGAACCGCAUGGUUCAAUAGUGAAAGACGGUUUUGCUGUCACUUAUAGAUGGAUCCGCGCCGCAUUAGCUAGUUGGUAAGGUAACGGCUUACCAAGGCGACGAUGCGUAGCCGACCUGAGAGGGUGAUCGGCCACACUGGAACUGAGACACGGUCCAGACUCCUACGGGAGGCAGCAGUAGGGAAUCUUCCGCAAUGGGCGAAAGCCUGACGGAGCAACGCCGCGUGAGUGAUGAAGGUCUUCGGAUCGUAAAACUCUGUUAUUAGGGAAGAACAAAUGUGUAAGUAACUAUGCACGUCUUGACGGUACCUAAUCAGAAAGCCACGGCUAACUACGUGC